Long non-coding RNA from Anolis carolinensis (green anole), 1627 nucleotides. RefSeq lists it as uncharacterized. The transcript has 2 exons. NCBI's taxonomy places the organism in Eukaryota, Metazoa, Chordata, Lepidosauria, Squamata, Anolidae. The record is from RefSeq and is a predicted model, not a curated record.
CGAGGCUGACCCCUAGCACCCCUUUCCUUCACAACCCCCCACUUCCACUUCCGAAACACAGGCCAGGAGGACCUGCACCCUCGCUUUCGUUUCUUUCUGUGUUUGUUUUUUCACUUCCUGAGUCAUUUAAAGUGGCGAUGCCUUCCCGCUCUCCCGGUCAAGGCAGUGGACAAAGCGGUGUCGGUUUGGAGACUGAUUUCCCCACCGGGAUAUUUAUUAAGAUCGGGUUUUCUGUACUUUUUUUUUGUAAUUAAAAUCAACCCCCCCCCCCGCUUUGUCUGGUAAAAGGGGGAAAUUGCGACACGUUUCCGGGUCCCAUUUAAUUGCUAGACCUAUUUGGGUGAGAGAAAGAGAAGAGUUUGAAGGGGUCUAUCGUAUACCAUGCAGUUGUGGACAAGUUUGCAUAGGGACCACCAAACGCAGCAUUGCCCAAACACAAAUCAAGGAUCAUGAAAGGCACUUGAUGAACCAACCUGGGCACAGCAUAUUAUUUGAGAACACAGAAAUGCUGGACCACUCUAACAACCACCAUGUCUGACUACGCAGAGAAGCCGUUGAAAUCCACAAAUAUGUGAACAAUUUCAACAGAAACCACAAAAAUUAACAAAAUCUGGUUACCAGUAUUUUAAAAACUCUAAAAUCAGGACAAUAAAUAAAGGACAACACUCAGAGAUUGUGAGGUAUAUUGGAAACUAGGCAAGGGAGGUUUAUAUAUCUGUGGAAGGUCCAGGGUGGGAGAAAGAACUCUUGUCUGUUGGAGGCAAGUGUGAAUGUUGUAAAGCCAAGCCUUGAAGCUGCAAAGCCAUUAGAUGCUAAUCAAGGUGAUUAAUUACAGCAUUGACACUUGUCUGGGCAGACAAGAGUUCUUUCUCCCACCCAGAACAUUCCAGGGAUAUAUAACCCCCACUUGCCUAGUUUCAAUAUACCUUACAACCUCUGAGAAUGCCUGCUAUAGAUGUGGGCAAAACAUCAAGAGAGAAUGCUUCUGGAACAUGGCCAUACAGCCCGGAAAACUCACAGCAACCCAGUUAUUCUGGCUAUGAAAGCCUUCAACAACACUUUGACUUCAAACCAAGAACACCUUCAAAAAAAGGGCAUUAGUCCUUCCUGUAGGAGAGGUGUUGUGUGUUACUUUGUUACUCACUCACUAGAUGGAUUGACUCAGUCAAGGAAGCCAUGUAUCUGUGUGUGUGUGUUGGGAUGUCUCUGCCAUGGAUUUCGGGGUCAUGCUGUAUUCCUUAUCUGGGCAGCUGGAUCAUCCAUGUUUCCUUAGAGCCAAUAAGAACUGGGCUGCUUUAUGGCCAAUAUGUAGCACCUAUUUCUUCCUCUUUUUCCUUCCCCCAGAGUAAGUGAGAAUCUUUCAGUAACUUUUCUUAGGUCAAAAGAUAUAUGUGGCCAAUCCAGAAAAUAGUAGUAUGUGUAGGUGCCAUGUCUGAAUCUAAGAUGGCAGCAGUGGUCAUGUGGACAACAUUUCACUCUCUUUUCAUCUAGAAAAUUAAUUUAAGUGGGAAAACAGCCAUAAUGUGAACAGAGCAGGUUGUUCCUAACAUCUCUGUAACGCUUGCCAUGUUGGAUUCAAUGAUGGCUGUUGCAAAUGUACAGUCACACAUGAAAACACUUUGUAAAA